This 332-nucleotide ribosomal RNA is filed under the name uncultured Glomus. RNAcentral's name for it is "eukaryotic LSU rRNA". Lineage: Eukaryota; Fungi; Glomeromycota; Glomeromycetes; Glomerales; Glomeraceae. The record is from RNAcentral.
CGUCGUACCGCCGUAAUCCAACCAUCUAGGUGGGAUCAUGUUGGGUGCUAAGGAGCCCUAACCGCCUUUUUCGCUCGCGUGUUGUGCUUCGUUGGUGGUACUUAUUCGCAUGGUAGGGUUAACAUCAAUUUCGGUCGUCAUAAAAAUGACGGGAGGAAUGUAGCUUUGAUCUCGUAUUAAAGUGUUUAUAGCCUCUGGUAGAUGUGAUGAUCGGGAUUGAGGAUUGCAACGAACCCUCAGGGCCAAUCGUCUGGCCUCUGGUGGUCGCUCUGGUUCCGAAAGCUUGCUUACGGUCGUCAGAGUUUGGUGCCAAAAGGUUAGAACGGGAUGAU